CCAAAAGUAUCAUUCUUUAAUAUCUCGUAUGGUAUGAGGGUGAAACAUGCCGUCUCCAUACCUCGUCUAGUAUGAGUGCCAAAAAUAUCAUCUCUCAAUAUUUCAUCCGGUAUAAGGGUGAAACGGGUCGUCUCUGUACCCCACCCGGUAUGAGCACCAAAAAAUGUCAAUUCUCGAUACCCCGUUUGAUAUGAGGCAAUGUUCAUGGUAAAGUUCUUUAUGUACCCGGUCCGUCUACCAUUUUCC
RNAcentral lists this long non-coding RNA (246 nucleotides) under Carica papaya (papaya). Its description in RNAcentral is "long non-coding RNA (CPAP_LNC015998)". Lineage: Eukaryota; Viridiplantae; Streptophyta; Magnoliopsida; Brassicales; Caricaceae. The record is from RNAcentral.